CACUACAUCCACUUGUGGUUUGAUCCUAAUGCGAGCUCAACACUUCUAUCAUAAGUGUUUUAGCACUCAUUUACAACAUUCAGCUUGCUAAACACUUUUUAUGCAAGUGAUGAUAAAUAGGCAUCGCAGAAAAUGCAAGUGAGAAUAGUGUGACUUUCAUAAUAUAGGCUAUUAACUUGAAUUUUGCCCAAAACAUAGUUAUUAGUUUGCCAUUUGUCCUAUCACACUAUUUGAGUUCCUAGAUUUCUUUAACCUAUGCUCCAAAGAGGAAUGAAAUAUCCUCAUCUUUAUGGACUAAACAAACAAGAAACUAGCUUUGACUUCUAAAGCCAAUUGAUCUUUCUUCAUUUUCACUAACAGUUAACAAAAAAUGAGCAAUCAGUUUUCCAAAAGGAGAUUCUUCCUCAGCAACCCAAC
Molecule: long non-coding RNA, 417 nt
Filed under: Eucalyptus grandis
Lineage: Eukaryota; Viridiplantae; Streptophyta; Magnoliopsida; Myrtales; Myrtaceae
Description: long non-coding RNA (EGRA_LNC002791)
Source: RNAcentral